UAGGGAAUCUUCGGCAAUGGGGGCAACCCUACGACGACACGCCGCGUGAGUGAAGAAGGUUUUCGGAUCGUAAAGCUCUGUUGUAAGAGAAGAACGUGUGUGAGAGUGGAAAGUUCACACAGUGACGGUAACUUACCAGAAAGGGACGGCUAACUACGUG
RNAcentral lists this ribosomal RNA (160 nucleotides) under uncultured bacterium. Its description in RNAcentral is "partial 16S ribosomal RNA". It matches the Rfam family "Bacterial small subunit ribosomal RNA", at positions 355 to 507 of the family's 1533-position model. The record is from RNAcentral.